GUCCUGGCAGACCGUGCUGAGGCUGUUGGCGUUCGGGUGGCCCCGCCUCGUGUCCCGCCCCGUGUCCAGCCGGGACCCCACGCCGCGGGAGCUGCUGGUCUUCUCUUCCUCCGACCUCCCCUUCGACGCGGAAGCGCAGGGGCAGGUGCGCCGCCCUCGGCCCACGCAGGCGGUGGGCCCGCUUGGGGCAAGGCGCCCGAAAGCCCCUGGGGAAGGUGCCCAGUCCCCAGGAGCACAAUCUGUCCUGUUUGUCCACCGAACUACAACUCACACUCCACAGGUCCUGGAGCCUGAGAAAGACCCCCACAGGGAGCUCGCAGCCACGCACAGGUCCUGGGCUCCGGCGAGCCAGCCAUCACCACUUCACAGCAGAGACAGAGUUUCACCAUGGUGACCAGGCUGAUCUCAAACCCGACCUCAGGUGGUCCACCCACCUCGGCCUCCCAAAGUGCUGGGAUUGCCUGGACUCAGCGUUCGGACAUUUUCUCUCCGUGUGUCUAAGGGAGGUGGUAGCGCACACGUGGACUUUGGAAAGAAAAAGACAACCGGGAAAACGUAGAUGGUCCGUGUGCUGUCUCGAGAAGGCCGCUCCAGAGGGGUGAGGACGGCAUCGGUGAUUCGUGGCCCGUGAGCGCAGCUGGUGCGCCCUGCAGGGCUGGGGGGCCGCGGAUGGAACGUGCCGCCUUCUAAUCACCCGGCAGAAGCGUGGGCGGGAACAGAGGCUCCGCUGCUGAGCCCAGUGCUCACACUGCCCAAAGCUUCCAGGGUGCGUUUGAUUGUGGGGGUGACUGUAGCGACUCCGAGUUAGAAGGACCCCGUUUUGUCCUAGAAUUUUCACCAGGUGUGUUUUUAAUUACAGCAGGGAGAGAGGCAUUGAAUGUUUUGCUGUUUGAGCUUUCCCAUACAGUUCGGGUUUAAUUCAUGAAAUUGUUAUGACAAGUCUGGCAUUAAGAAAAGAAAACAUAUUUUAGGGUAAAUCUGAUUCGCGGUUCCCAGCCCAACUUUCAUUUAAAAAUUUCCUUUGUCUGGCACAGCCAGAGAGCUUCUGGCACCUUCCCUACUCUUCUGUGGCACAGUCACCUGAGGUCUACUCCGCACUUGACAUGGAAGUGAAUAAACUAAUGUAUUCCAACGUUUAUUUUCCUAACACGUGUGUUCUGGUCAUACAGCAAUAGGCUAUUUGCGAUUGCAUAUUAUAAUGUAUUCUUUGCAGCUGGAAAAAGUACAUAUUUUGGGAAAAUAAGCAUAGGACUCAUUUGACUUUAAAUCAUCAGAUGAGCCUUAAAAAGCCUUUUAAAGGAGACCUCCAGGCUUGCUAUGCUGAAUGCGGAUUGUCCAUGCAACUUAGGGGAGGAUUUUUUCUGUAUGUUUAAAAAUAAUUCCAAAACAUAAAACUGAUGACUUAUUUGAAUAUUACUUAAAGAAGAUUCUUAUCAUUUAGAGAUAUAUGCUGAAAUAUUUGGAGAUGAAAUAGUAUGAUACCUGAGAUUUAUUUCAAAGUAACCUGGUUUAGAGACUAGUGGGUAUGACUGAGAUAAGAUGUGCUGCACUGAGGGGGUGGCAGGACCAAGGACCAAGGGUGCUGGAGACGGGAGGACAGCAGAACUGUGGUCUGAGGGUGCUGGAGGGGGCGGCAGGACCAAGGACCAAGGGUGCUGGAGAUGGGAGGACAGCAGAACUGAGG
RNA transcript from Piliocolobus tephrosceles (Ugandan red Colobus), 1684 nucleotides. RefSeq lists it as uncharacterized. The transcript is spliced from 4 exons. NCBI's taxonomy places the organism in Eukaryota, Metazoa, Chordata, Mammalia, Primates, Cercopithecidae. The record is from RefSeq and is a predicted model, not a curated record.